CUACGGGUUGCUGCAGUGGGGAAUAUUGCACAAUGGGCGCAAGCCUGAUGCAGCAACGCCGCGUGAGGGAUGAAGGCCUUCGGGUUGUAAACCUCUUUUAGCAGGGAAGAAGCGAAAGUGACGGUACCCGCAGAAAAAGCACCGGCUAACUACGUGCCAGCAGCCGCGGUAAUACGUAGGGUGCAAGCGUUGUCCGGAAUUAUUGGGCGUAAAGAGCUCGUAGGCGGUUUGUCACGUCUGCUGUGAAAAUCCAAGGCUCAACCUUGGACUUGCAGUGGGUACGGGCAGGCUAGAGUGCGGUAGGGGAGAUGGGAAUUCCUGGUGUAGCGGUGGCAUGCGCAGAUAUCAGGAGGAACACCAAUGGCGAAGGCACAUCUCUGGGCCGUAACUGACGCUGAGGAGCGAAAGCGUGGGGAGCGAACAGGAUUAGAUACCCUAGUAGUC
This 444-nucleotide ribosomal RNA is filed under the name uncultured bacterium. RNAcentral's name for it is "partial 16S ribosomal RNA". It matches the Rfam family "Bacterial small subunit ribosomal RNA", at positions 339 to 795 of the family's 1533-position model. The record is from RNAcentral.